CCUACGGGAGGCAGCAGUGAGGAAUAUUGGUCAAUGGACGAGAGUCUGAACCAGCCAAGUAGCGUGAAGGAUGACUGCCCUAUGGGUUGUAAACUUCUUUUAUAUGGGAAUAAAACGUUCCACGUGUGGGAUUUUGUAUGUACCAUAUGAAUAAGGAUCGGCUAACUCCGUGCCAGCAGCCGCGGUAAUCCGGAGGAUCCGAGCGUUAUCCGGAUUUAUUGGGUUUAAAGGGAGCGUAGGUGGAUUGUUAAGUCAGUUGUGAAAGUUUGCGGCUCAACCGUAAAAUUGCAGUUGAAACUGGCAGUCUUGAGUACAGUAGAGGUGGGCGGAAUUCGUGGUGUAGCGGUGAAAUGCUUAGAUAUCACGAAGAACUCCGAUUGCGAAGGCAGUUCACUGGACUGCAACUGACACUGAGGCUCGAAAGUGUGGGUAUCAAACAGGAUUAGAUACCCUUGUAGUC
RNAcentral lists this ribosomal RNA (460 nucleotides) under uncultured bacterium. RNAcentral's name for it is "partial 16S ribosomal RNA". It matches the Rfam family "Bacterial small subunit ribosomal RNA", at positions 338 to 795 of the family's 1533-position model. The record is from RNAcentral.